UGGGGAAUUUUGGACAAUGGGCGAAAGCCUGAUCCAGCAAUGCCGCGUGUGUGAAGAAGGCCUUCGGGUUGUAAAGCACUUUUGUCCGGAAAGAAAUCCUUGGCUCUAAUACAGUCGGGGGAUGACGGUACCGGAAGAAUAAGCACCGGCUAACUACGUGCCAGCAGCCGCGGUAAUACGUAGGGUGCAAGCGUUAAUCGGAAUUACUGGGCGUAAAGCGUGCGCAGGCGGUUUGCUAAGACCGAUGUGAAAUCCCCGGGCUCAACCUGGGAACUGCAUUGGUGACUGGCAGGCUAGAGUAUGGCAGAGGGGGGUUAGAAUUCCACGUGUAGCAGUGAAAUGCGUAGAGAUGUGGAGGAAUACCGAUGGCGAAGGCAGCCCCCUGGGCCAAUACUGACGCUCAUGCACGAAAAGGCGCGGGGAGCAAAACAGGAUUAGAUACCCUGGUAGUCCACGCCCUAAACGAUGUCAACUAGUUGUUGGGGAUUCAUUUCCUAGUAACGUAGCUAACGCGUGAAGUUGACCGCCUGGGGGAGUAC
RNAcentral lists this ribosomal RNA (539 nucleotides) under uncultured bacterium. RNAcentral describes it as "partial 16S ribosomal RNA". It matches the Rfam family "Bacterial small subunit ribosomal RNA", at positions 355 to 883 of the family's 1533-position model. The record is from RNAcentral.